Chiloscyllium plagiosum (whitespotted bambooshark) is the source of this 840-nucleotide non-coding RNA. NCBI's taxonomy places the organism in Eukaryota, Metazoa, Chordata, Chondrichthyes, Orectolobiformes, Hemiscylliidae. The record is from RefSeq and is a predicted model, not a curated record.
UUUCAGCUCGGCGAACAGAACCACAGCAACGAGUACCCGAGCUACAAAUCUUCUCACAAACUUUGAACUGAAGAGAGAUUCCCUGAAUAAGUUACUGUAUAAUUAGAAACAUCUCUUAAAAUAUGCAAGAUUUUUCAGGUUUUAUAUGGCUAAAUAUUUAGUAUAUGUUUGUAAAAUGAUUUCCUUUUUGAAUUCUUCACAGGAUAGCCACCCCAUUAACCAUGGAUAUGUAUGCAUGGACUGCAAAGCAGGCAGUCCUGUACAAUGGAAUUCUACUGGUGGGUGUUGGUGUAGAAUCCAUUGUUGCUUUUAUGAUAACAAAGCUUCUUUCGAAAAGAUUCAAAGAUCAUUUGUUGCUGCUUGGAGGAUUUGUUAUCAUUUUCCUUGGGUUCUUUGUUUUGCUACCUUGGGGAAAUCAGUACCCUCCAAUCCAGUGGACAGGUACCAUUUGAUUUGUCUUCAACUGCUGAAGGACCUAGUAUUUUCUUUUUAGUAUUAGUGUACGUGCAAUGUGCCUUCAUGGUUAUUUCAGUUGUUAAAUGUGCUGAUUGUUUUCGGGUCUUUUUGGUGUAUUUUAUAUGUUUUACUUAUCUCUUUGGCCAGUAAAACAUUUUUCAAAUUGCUGGAAAUUUUCAGAAUAGUAAAAUACCAGUAAAGCUUACUAUCUUUUGACUAAUUUCUAUUCAAGAACAUUUUCUGAAAAUAACUCAAAGUACUUCUGAAUUCAGUCAACUUGGCACAACAUUUAAAUUCACAAAUAUCUAGGAGGAACGCAGUCAAAAUAAUUUAACCACACUGUUGUUGAGGAAGGAGAUCACCUUGCUAGCGAAAAAAAAGUGG